RNAcentral lists this ribosomal RNA (301 nucleotides) under uncultured bacterium. RNAcentral describes it as "partial 16S ribosomal RNA". It matches the Rfam family "Bacterial small subunit ribosomal RNA", at positions 509 to 809 of the family's 1533-position model. The record is from RNAcentral.
CAGUAGCCGCGGUAAAACGGAGGGUGCAAGCGUUAAUCGGAAUUACUGGGCGUAAAGCGCACGCAGGCGGUCUGUCAAGUCAGAUGUGAAAUCCCCGGGCUUAACCUGGGAACUGCAUUUGAAACUGGCAGGCUAGAGUCUUGUAGAGGGGGGUAGAAUUCCAGGUGUAGCGGUGAAAUGCGUAGAGAUCUGGAGGAAUACCGGUGGCGAAGGCGGCCCCCUGGACAAAGACUGACGCUCAGGUGCGAAAGCGUGGGGAGCAAACAGGAUUAGAUACCCGGGUAGUCCCUGUCUCUUAUAA